ACUUAAAUAGUUUAAUUAAAAUAUUGAUUUGUGGAAUCAAAGAUAUAAAUAAUUAUUUUAAGUA
RNAcentral lists this transfer RNA (64 nucleotides) under Neuronema laminatum. RNAcentral describes it as "tRNA-His". Lineage: Eukaryota; Metazoa; Arthropoda; Insecta; Neuroptera; Hemerobiidae. The record is from RNAcentral.